GCGAAAGUGAUCGUCCGAGGUGCCGGUGCUCUUGUCAGAGGGCAACGGAGAAUUGGGAAGCCGGUGAAAGGCCGGCGCUGCCCCCGCAACGGUAAGCAUGGGGGGUAUGGGCGAAAUACCACUGGGCGCAAAGCCCGGGAAGGUGCCCGUAUCCUGACCCGCAAGCCCGGAAACCAGCCUUGGACCAACGUCAAGC
RNAcentral lists this non-coding RNA (196 nucleotides) under Roseovarius indicus. Lineage: Bacteria; Pseudomonadati; Pseudomonadota; Alphaproteobacteria; Rhodobacterales; Roseobacteraceae. The record is from RNAcentral.